UGCAGAUGGGCUGGAGCUCAACUGGGUCUCAUAAGCCCGGUCUUGUCGGUUCGAUUCCGACAUCUGCAAC
This 70-nucleotide transfer RNA is filed under the name Mariniblastus fucicola. Its description in RNAcentral is "tRNA-Met". The record is from RNAcentral. Lineage: Bacteria; Pseudomonadati; Planctomycetota; Planctomycetia; Pirellulales; Pirellulaceae.